AUGGCUGGGAAUAAAGGAUGAGGACGUGCUGCUUAUACCUUUAAUAUUGAGGCUGUUGGAUUUAGCAAAGGUAAAAAGUUACCUGAUGUAGUGUUGAAACCACCCCCACUAUUUCCUGAUACAGAUUAUAAACCAGUGCCACUGAAGACAGGAGAAGGUGAAUAAUAUAUGCUGGCUUUGAAACAGGAGUUGAGAGAAACAAUGAAAAGAAUGCCCUAUUUUAUUGAAACACCCUCAUGAAGAAAGACAAGAUAUUGAAAG
RNAcentral lists this long non-coding RNA (261 nucleotides) under Homo sapiens (human). RNAcentral describes it as "non-protein coding lnc-PPP4R3A-5:1". Lineage: Eukaryota; Metazoa; Chordata; Mammalia; Primates; Hominidae. The record is from RNAcentral.